Non-coding RNA from Dermacentor andersoni, 4335 nucleotides. Lineage: Eukaryota; Metazoa; Arthropoda; Arachnida; Ixodida; Ixodidae. The record is from RefSeq and is a predicted model, not a curated record.
UAAAGACUAUGCAGAAAGCUUUAGGCCACUCUACAUAUCAGAUCAGUUUUAUAUUGCAUCCCUUAUGGUGCAUCUCUUACUUGAGUAGGCAUAAUAACAAUUGGCAAUGCUUCCUUACACAUUUAAUAUUUUUCUCUUUUUCUUUUGGAAGAGUAGCCUUCGAAGAAUAAUCUACAACAGUGCUCCUACCUUCUCUUUCACUGUCUCCCCAUUUCUUUUCUACACUUCAACUUCAUUCUACGCACUUUCUUAUUCUCCUCUUCAUCCUACAUUGAGGGUGUGGGAAAGUGAGCUAAGCGUGCAUAAAGAUUGCUGUGCCGAACUUAAUUGCGGCACUGACGAAAACAAAUCUUUGUCAAAAGGUUCACUCCAGCUACAUUCCCCCUCCAAACACUGUUUAUCACUUCAAGCCUUCAUAUUCCUGUGAGCUUUUGUCUUGUUUAACAGUUGUAACAGCCAUACUAUUUAUUACUAUCAGUAGCCAGCAUACAUUUUGCACUGCAAAGGGCUGUUUAGAAGAUGUGCAAGUUUCUACUUCCCUUAUGAUAAAUACUCCAGACAUUCAGUCUCUAUUUUAUGAAAAUCUUUCAAACAUUGCCAGUGAUGACCACCAUAUAGGUUAAUGUCGGCAUGGGAUUGAGGCUUUCCCGCAAAAAGAACAGUUAUGUUGUGCUCAUAUCAUGUGACUGGCAGUUUCUGCUGUAAUUUUUGCACUUGUCAACUGCACUGUGAAGAGUUCAUUUCUGUGAAUAUGUGCUGGCCUGAUUCUUCUUGUUCACGCAUUUCAGAUCUUGUGCUAUGAGAUGAGGAGGUGUAAAAUAAAAACACCGUGUAGAUUUCACAAUGCUUUAAGAAACCACGCGAAGCUUGGAGAUGAAGCAUUACAUGCACCUUGAACCAAGUGUCUGGACACAGCGAGUGAAAGUUGUUUUGUCAUGAGCGAGGGUGUCGGUGUUACUUGUAAAUACCUUUAAAUAAAGGUUUGUUUCAAAACAGUGGCUCAACUCUGUGUUUCCCCCGGUAAAAAACACAACCAUUGGGAUUUUCAUGAGCGAGGGUGUCGGUGUUACUUGUAACUACCUUUAAAUAAAAGUUUGUUUCAAAACAGUGGCCCAACUCUGUGUUCCCCUGGUAAAAAACAAAACCAUUGGGAUUUACAAUUCGCUUUUUAAACAUAAUUGAACAACAUGAAUAAAAAAAACUUGAUGAAUCAAGAUAUAAGCUUGCCAUACCAUGGAAACACUUGAAACUCCUUUUGAGAAGCUUACUCAUACACGAACACACUAUAGCAAUUAUUUUCAAUCGUAUACCCACAAUUUGCCGUGUCACCACGUCAAGUUUCAAGGCAGAUUUUUUUUAGACUCCAGGAAGCUAUAUGCCUAAUUCUAUCCAUUGUUUACUGCAUUGCAUUUGAUUUUCUAUAACAAAUAAAAUUGAAUUCUCCAUUGAUUGCGCCGACGCUCACAUUAUAAUUAUAUGCUAUUAUUAUUGACUAGUCAUAUAUUUUCUUGGCGGGUGGGGGCUGCACUGGUGGCGUUCUACGAAUUUGCGCCGCGUGUUUGUGCGGGUAAGCUUAAGUGCAGAAUUUUUUUUUGCGCGUUAUGAAAACAAUGCACUGCAGGUAUUUUAAUUAAUGCAACGAGCUGUAUGAAAUAUCGGUCAAGGGGUUGGAAACGUCGUUAUAGAGAAUCCCGACGAUUUUUCUUUUGCGUGUGUGUAUUUGGAGUUGAUUCACAGUUUUAUUUGUUUAUUUUGGCUACAUUGCGCCAAUUGCGCUUCCAUAGAAUAAAGAAACGCGCUUCCACGCGCUUGCCGACUCGAUCGCAAGGGGACAGCCUGAUCAACAUCAAUAUCAGCAGCAAUGGCGGAUUUGCGCUUGCCAUGGCGCUUGCAAAGUUUUCAAUAGUUUUCGACUAUUAAGUGAUGCUUUUGCUAUUUUAACGUGUGGAGGUUCAUUGUACGUCUGUUUUUCAAGUUUGGCAUGUGUCUUAACACAUGUGAAGGUGUAGUCUUUUCUUCUUCAGCGGAUAUUUGUACAAGACCCCGUUCACCGUCUAUCAGCUCUAGCUCGGCAAGAAUAAAGCGGUUCCUUAGAAGUGGUGGAGGUGCUGGGGUUCUGCAUACCAAGGACGUAUAAGUGAAGGUGACUUAAACCGACAACAGCCGAGAAGGUGCAAACAGCACUGCGCUGCCUGGUUCUUGCUGCUGGCCUUUUCUUCUUUUCACAGUGUCCUUACUGUAAGUGCACUCCAGAGUUACAAUGCAGGAAUAUGCAUGUGUGCAUAAGCUUUCAUUCAAGAGUAACUCAUGAUCAUAAGUUACGUCAUCAUGGUUUCGUACCAUGUCACGGCAUCAUAAGUGAGACAUAAUAAAGAAGCCCUCAAAGUCUGCGGGAGAGACUAAUCUUUUGUGCGAGAUUGUGCUAUCCUUGCUGCACGCAGUGCAAUAUUAUAUGACUCUCAUGUCUAUGGUGGCAUUGUCGAUUAUGAAUGUUUCCUUACUGCGUUAAAAAAAUGUGAGUGCAUCUUUCAGAUAAUAAUGGCAUUAUAGCUUCAGAGUUGUUCAAGUUUGGGGUACUUGUUCACUAAAAGUACAUUAUCAGAAAAGCUUUAGAAUGUCUAGGUCAUAAUUGCAUUUGAAGAACUAAGUCUUCCUACACAUAGCAAUUGGUAGCUUACUGUGUAAUGUUGAAGGUGGUUUUUAUUCAUAGGCCCUACGCAGAGAGCAGCAACACAAUGCCUGGCAUGUGACCAGGGUUCGUCACAGUGUUUGCAUUUCCAGUGCCCGUAACUGAUUCCAAGCAUAAAUUUGCUUUAUGAAUUCUUUGUAGACAGAAGGUGCUUGAAUAUUGGUUGCAUGAAAUGCUCCAAUGCACACUGUAUAUGUACAGGGUGUCUUUUAUUACCAUACAGAUUUUCUUGUUUUAAAGUUAUGAGCGCAGCAAAUGUGGCAUUCUUGCAGAGGAAUUCCUCUAUUUUGGAACUCCACAAAUUUGGAGGCAGUCACAUUUUAUAGCACUCUCAUUUCUUACAAAUCUUGAAAGUUGCGCCUAAUUCAAGAUAUUCAUCAUUGAAUUUCACUGGUAAAUCGAGGCAAUAUUGGAACUGAGUGUGCUGGGAGCGCAGAAAAGAAGGUCCCGCUACCGACACACUUUGCCUGGCAAGCAUGUGCAUCAGUGUGCCGUGUCAGGCUAUCAUUUAAGCUUUGUCCCACACUUCUUGACAGGGCACUGCCGCCUGAUGUGGAGCAGGAUGCACCAAGUUUUGAUUGUACUCAAUUGAGCGCGAUAAUGAAUAUUUCAAAAUAAGUGCAAUUUUCGAGAUUUCGAAAAAGGAAGGGUGUGCGUUCACAUGUGAAUGCCUCCAAAUAUGCCAUUUAGAAGGCUGCCGCCAAGUUACUAAUAAAAAAGUGACUGAAUUUUUCAAAAUUAAUUUUCUGAAACUCGCAUUAGCAGCAAAGUGUGUCCUCCUCACCUAGAAACUCCUUUGCAAGAACGACAGGCUCUCUGUGCUCAAAACUUUUUGCUAAAUAUCUGCAUGGUUAAAAAAAAAAACUAGAUAUGCGUAAUUGUUAAUGUAUGAAAAUCUUACACUAUCACUUUUCAAAAUUUUUGUCCUAUGCAACACCAGAAAAAUUGGAAAUAGAAGCUUCAGGCGACCUAUCUGAUGUGCAAGUUGCAUGGCCAUAUUAUUGUCUUAAUUUUUCGCUAUUACCUUUUACUGUGAUGUCGCCACUGCAGCAGCUCGAUGGCUGUGGCUUUUCAUUCCAGGUCACAAAGCUGCACCCAGGUAGAGGCAGAAUCCAAAAAUGCUUGUGUACUUAAGUAUAGCUGCACAUUACAGAAUCCGAGGCCCUCAAGAUUUAUCCGUAGCCCUCGUGUAGCCCACGAGUUCCAUAUUUUUUAUUGGGAUUGAAGAGUAACGUUUGUGCUGUAUCCUUCUAUUUCAGACUAAAUAAUGUGCAUGCAAAAUUAUAUCUUCAUUACUUUACACCAUUGCACCAAUAUCUGUUGUGCGUUGAUUUUCUGAUGUCCUUGCAUUUGCUAUAGCAAGGAUUUUUAAAAAUCAGCCACAAAAGAAAAAAUAAAUGGUCAAGGAACGAAGCGGUGUGUAGCAGCUCCUUUUUUUUAAUCGGCAGCAAGUUUUGCACUCGUGUGUUAGCAACACUGUUUCGCCAGUUGUGUACUUCAAAAGAAGUGUUACCUUUCUGCUUUGGAACUUUGUGGUUUUGUUCUGCCAGCUGCUUGACCAACACAAGCAAAAUGUACUUUGGAUAUUCCACAAAUUCAUUCUGUAUGCAUUUGGUACAAUAAAAUUUGUUUCAAGAAUGGACAAA